This 501-nucleotide ribosomal RNA is filed under the name uncultured bacterium. Its description in RNAcentral is "partial 16S ribosomal RNA". It matches the Rfam family "Bacterial small subunit ribosomal RNA", at positions 30 to 523 of the family's 1533-position model. The record is from RNAcentral.
AUUGAACGCUGGCGGCAGGCUUAACACAUGCAAGUCGAUCGGAGAGAGGUAGCUUGCUACUGAUCUUAGCGGCGGACGGGUGAGUAAUGCUUAGGAAUCUGUCUAUUAGUGGGGGACAACAUUUCGAAAGGAAUGCUAAUACCGCAUACGUCCUACGGGAGAAAGCAGGGGAUCUUCGGACCUUGCGCUAAUAGAUGAGCCUAAGUCGGAUUAGCUAGUUGGUGGGGUAAAGGCCUACCAAGGCGACGAUCUGUAGCGGGUCUGAGAGGGUGACCCGCCACGAUGGGACUGAGACACGGCCCAGACUCCUACGGGAGGCAGCUGUGGGGAAUAUUGGAGAAUGGGCGGAAGCCUGAUCCAGCCAUGCCGCGUGUGUGAAGAAGGCCUUAUGGUUGUAAAGCACUUUAAGCGAGGAGGAGGCUACUUUAGUUAAUACCUAGAGAUAGUGGACGUUACUCGCAGAAUAAGCACCGGCUAACUCUGUGCCAGCAGCCGCAGUAA